Long non-coding RNA from Triplophysa dalaica, 2482 nucleotides. RefSeq lists it as uncharacterized. The transcript is spliced from 4 exons. Lineage: Eukaryota; Metazoa; Chordata; Actinopteri; Cypriniformes; Nemacheilidae. The record is from RefSeq and is a predicted model, not a curated record.
AAUCACACAGCACACUCUCUGUCUCUGGUGGGAUUAUCCGUGUGUGUGUAAGAGAGAGAGAGAGAGAGAGAGAGAGAACACACUGCGUCUGCGUGCUGGGGGAGGAGUGUCUCUCUCUCGUUUUUCUCCUCCUGCUCUGGACUUUCUCCACCCUCCCACUUCUCUCUUUAUUUCUUUCUCUCUCUCUCUCUCUCUGAAGUGCAAGGCCAUGUGGGACGAGUGAUGAGGAGUUUCUCUUCUGUAUGUCUCCUGUUUCAUUUACCCCUCCCCUCUCUCUCUCUCUCUUUCUCUCUCUGUCUUUCGCUUUCCGUACUCGUUCGGAUUCCCAGUCUCUUCUGUCUUUAAGCUGUGUGUGAGGUGGGGACUGAGUGCUGGAGACCAGUUUAGAGAAAGAGAAGGAAAAAAGGAAAAAACAGAGCUGCUUUGCUGCCGUGGGGCCUCUCGAGUAGCGAUCCCAGCGGAGGGAGAGAGAGAGAGAGGGGACGAGAGCCGUACCACAGCCCACCCCAGACCUGCCAACACGUUCCUGUUGUCCAGCACAUUGCUGCGUUUUUUCCAUGCACCUGAGCCAGCGUUUGCAGCGAAUAACCAACCGUGAUGUUUUUAGCGACUUUGUAGGCCACGUUGCUUUUUAGAAUGUUGCGUUUCAGUGAGCGGGUGAGCGGGAGGACGGAGCGUUCCUGCACCCCAAACCGCCAUCCCAGUGAAGCGCCAGAGGCCCGAGCGUCGCUCUGAAGGAUUUGCCCGCGUUUUGGAAGUACAGACCCGCGGCAGAGUCUCCUCGAGGGAGUUGUGCCGUGCCGGAGCUCUUCUCUGGGACAGGUGCCAAUUGUUCACAAAAGGCGACGAGAAAAAAACCUGCGAGCGUGGAGGUGAUCCGCAGCAUGUUGGAGACUCAUGUGGGGGGCGAAGAGGAUUCCUCCUUCGCUCAAACUCGCACAACUUCUGAAGAAAGCUGCAAAACACCUUCCGAAACAAAACAUUUCAGGUGCUUGAGACGGAAAACUAGGAUACUGAAGGAAGAGGUUUGCCGGAGAUGAUGAUGAUGGUUGUGGUGGUGGGGGUCCAGCUUGGUAAAUGUUUCUCAGGCCUCGCAUGAGUGGUGGUAACCGAGGCACCAUUUGCAUACGGCAGACACGCUAAUUGUGUGUUUGCUAACACGCAUCAUUCAGCGUUCUGCAGACGGGGUUUACACACGCCUCAUAGACACCCCAGAGGCCUCCUUUUGUUCCGGCGGAGCGGCCGUGAGCUCGACCGAGGGUCCGCACGGGUCUUGCUCCGGACAGAUGGAGCUCAGAGCUCUUCUCUCUCGUGUUCUGCACAGGGCCGUCUGAGGAUUUCAGGAACCUUUUGGAUAGAUCGGGAGAGGAAGAGACGUCUGAGAUGAACUGAAGCAGCCCUGCACUGGUGCGGUGAUGAGUUCCUCUCCCAUGGGCCGCUGUCUUCCCACAUUUCCAGCGAGCAGAUGGCCUGAUGGCGUGGCGUGGGAUCUCUCGCAGCAGGACGCGCUCGUGUACGUCAGGAAAAUCUGCAGAAGCGCUCUUUGAAGGACAAAUGUGCAGAAACAGACUGAAGAAGGGACAGAAGACGAGGAUUAAAUAUGGAUCACAGGAAGGGGAUUUCAUGAGAAUCAACAUAAAGUUGCAAACCAUUUAACUCAUGAUGACGUCUGACACAUUUCUGACAGGACUUUAAUGAGGACAAAAUGUAGGGCGGGGCUUAAUGUCAUCCAUUGGUCUCUAUGAUUGGAUGGUAAGAGGAGAUGAUCUGGAAACAUCAGAAGAGAGAAUCAGAGAAUAUUGAAGUUUUCGAUGCUUGUUUUAUGUCAUAACCUUCACAAGCGGAAGGAAGCAGUUCAGAGGUCUGUUCAUCAGUCCUUUGGGGUGAGGUAGUAGGUUGUAUAGUUGUGGGGUGAUACACUUCCUGUUAGAUAACUAUACAACUUACUGUCUUUCCUGAAGAGGCUGUAAUAUCUUCAUCAUCAUCGUCAUCACGCCAGGCGGAUGUAAAACAUCUCAGCAGCCUAAAAAAUAAACCUCAUCCAUCACUGAAACAACUUGAUUCCUCAUUAAAAGUGAAUGACUCACACGUGUGAAAUGUGUCAUUGGUUGGCGUGUGGCUGGAUUUAUAAACGAAUGGCUUAAUUACGGGAUGGUUUUGUGCACUCCUGAUGUUCGUACAGGGUGAGGUAGUAGGUUGUGUGGUUUCAGGGUAGUGAUUUUGCCCCAUCAGGAGGUAACUAUACAACCUACUGCCUUCCCUGGAGGGCAGCGACGCAGCCACUGACCAUCAGCAGAGGACGAUGACAUCAUCGCUUCCAGACGGAUAUACAGGUACGUUCAAAUGAUCUUCAAAUAUGUAUCAUUGCACUAUACUCAAUUGUUUAAGUUUUUGUCAAGUCAAAGUGAUGAAACUAUAAGGACAUCUCUUAAAAGUCCAUGUUGGUGUAUAAACUCCGCAAUAAAACUGUAUAUAAAAAGUG